Molecule: ribosomal RNA, 483 nt
Filed under: uncultured bacterium
Lineage: Bacteria
Description: partial 16S ribosomal RNA
Rfam family: Bacterial small subunit ribosomal RNA
Source: RNAcentral
AUUGAACGCUGGCGGCAUGCUUUACACAUGCAAGUCGAACGGCAGCGCGGGCUUCGGCCUGGCGGCGAGUGGCGAACGGGUGAGUAAUACAUCGGAACGUGCCCAGUAGUGGGGGAUAGCUCGGCGAAAGCCGGAUUAAUACCGCAUACGACCUGAGGGGGAAAGCGGGGGAUCUUCGAACCUCGCGCAAUUGGAGCGGCCGAUGGCAGAUUAGCUAGUUGGUGGGGUAAAGGCCUACCAAGGCGACGAUCUGUAGCUGGUCUGAGAGGACGACCAGCCACACUGGGACUGAGACACGGCCCAGACUCCUACGGGAGGCAGCAGUGGGGAAUUUUGGACAAUGGGCGAAAGCCUGAUCCAGCAAUGCCGCGUGUGUGAUGAAGGCCUUCGGGUUGUAAAGCACUUUUGGCGGGAACGAAAAGGGCUGUGCCAAUACCACGGUUCGAUGACGGUACCCGCAGAAUAAGCACCGGCUAACUACGU